CAGCAGCCACGGUAACACGGAGGGUGCAAGCGUUAAUCGGAAUUACUGGGCGUAAAGCGCACGCAGGCGGUUUGUUAAGUCAGAUGUGAAAUCCCCGAGCUUAACUUGGGAACUGCAUUUGAAACUGGCAAGCUAGAGUCUUGUAGAGGGGGGUAGAAUUCCAGGUGUAGCGGUGAAAUGCGUAGAGAUCUGGAGGAAUACCGGUGGCGAAGGCGGCCCCCUGGACAAAGACUGACGCUCAGGUGCGAAAGCGUGGGGAGCAAACAGGAUUAGAUACCCCUGUAGUCCCUGUCUCUUAUAC
This 301-nucleotide ribosomal RNA is filed under the name uncultured bacterium. RNAcentral describes it as "partial 16S ribosomal RNA". It matches the Rfam family "Bacterial small subunit ribosomal RNA", at positions 509 to 807 of the family's 1533-position model. The record is from RNAcentral.